RNAcentral lists this ribosomal RNA (468 nucleotides) under uncultured bacterium. Its description in RNAcentral is "partial 16S ribosomal RNA". It matches the Rfam family "Bacterial small subunit ribosomal RNA", at positions 28 to 507 of the family's 1533-position model. The record is from RNAcentral.
GACGAACGCUGGCGGCGUGCUUAACACAUGCAAGUCGAACGGAAAGGCCCUGCUUUUGUGGGGUGCUCGAGUGGCGAACGGGUGAGUAACACGUGAGUAACCUGCCCUUGACUUUGGGAUAACUUCAGGAAACUGGGGCUAAUACCGGAUAGGAGCUCCUGCUGCAUGGUGGGGGGUGGAAAGUUUCGGCGGUUGGGGAUGGACUCGCGGCUUAUCAGCUUGUUGGUGGGGUAGUGGCUUACCAAGGCUUUGACGGGUAGCCGGCCUGAGAGGGUGACCGGCCACAUUGGGACUGAGAUACGGCCCAGACGCCUACGGGAGGCAGCAGUGGGGAAUAUUGCACAAUGGGAGGAAGCCUGAUGCAGCAACGCCGCGUGCGGGAUGACGGCCUUCGGGUUGUAAACCGCUUUCGCCUGUGACGAAGCGUGAGUGACGGUAAUGGGUAAAGAAGCACCGGCUAACUACGUG